GAUGAAGAACGCAGCGAACUGCGAUAAGUAAUGUGAAUCGCAGAAUUCAGUGAAUCAUCGAGUCUUUGAACGCACAUUGCGCCCCCUGGCAUUCCGGGGGGCAUGCCUGUCCGAGCGUCAUUGCUGCCCUUCAAGCCCGGCUUGUGUGUUGGGUCGUCGUCCCCCCCGGGGGACGGGCCCGAAAGGCAGCGGCGGCACCGCGUCCGGUCCUCGAGCGUAUGGGGCUUUGUCACCCGCUCGAUUAGGGCCGGCCGGGCGCCAGCCGGCGUCUCCAACCUUCUAUUUUACCAGGUUGACCUCGGAUCAGGUAGGGAUACCCGCUGAACUUAAGCAUAUCAAUAAGCGGAGGA
This 350-nucleotide unclassified non-coding RNA is filed under the name soil metagenome. Its description in RNAcentral is "partial contains 5.8S ribosomal RNA, internal transcribed spacer 2, and large subunit ribosomal RNA". The stretch from base 1 to 120 matches the Rfam family "5.8S ribosomal RNA", at positions 35 to 154 of the family's 154-position model. The record is from RNAcentral.